GGUCCUGUAGUUCAACGGAUAGAAUAGAAGUUUCCUAAACUUUAGAUAGGGGUUCGAUUCCCCUCGGGACUA
Non-coding RNA from Bacteroides oleiciplenus YIT 12058, 72 nucleotides. The record is from Rfam. Lineage: Bacteria; Pseudomonadati; Bacteroidota; Bacteroidia; Bacteroidales; Bacteroidaceae.